GCGCCUGUAGUAUAACGGUUAUUACACUCAGCUACCAAGUCGUACAACGAGAGACCUGGGUUCGACUCCCAGCGGGUGCG
Neopestalotiopsis sp. 37M is the source of this 80-nucleotide non-coding RNA. NCBI's taxonomy places the organism in Eukaryota, Fungi, Ascomycota, Sordariomycetes, Amphisphaeriales, Sporocadaceae. The record is from the annotation of a GenBank genome assembly.